UGGACAGAAUUGCAAGUUUUUGAGUUUUCUUGGGGUGAACUUUGGAAGCAGGGGCUUUGUGGAGUUGAGUCACAUCCCCUAUCAACCAGUACUGGAAUUGGGACCAUCUUCACCUGAUUUGGAGAUUGUUAGGUGUGUUUUGAUAUUGGAAUUGGAUAAAUCCUAAGCUUAAGGGCUGAAAUUGAUGAAUUAUAAUGGAUUUUGGGUGAAUUGUUGUAACACAC
Molecule: long non-coding RNA, 224 nt
Filed under: Ananas comosus (pineapple)
Lineage: Eukaryota; Viridiplantae; Streptophyta; Magnoliopsida; Poales; Bromeliaceae
Description: long non-coding RNA (ACOM_LNC017854)
Source: RNAcentral